AUACCUUUCUCGGCCUUUUCGCUAAGAUGAAGUGUAGUGUCCGUUCUUUUCAGUUUAAUAUCUGAUACGCGUAUCAAUGAUCCACAUGUUAUUAAAUUAAUUUUUCCAGAGGAGGGUCCACAACCGUAGCUUGCUACUGGAUCCCUCGUGUAUCGAUCUUGCUUUGCACCACGGCAUGGGUCCCCUGGUACACCUCUC
Molecule: small nuclear RNA, 198 nt
Organism: Ziziphus jujuba (common jujube)
Lineage: Eukaryota; Viridiplantae; Streptophyta; Magnoliopsida; Rosales; Rhamnaceae
Product: U2 spliceosomal RNA
Exons: 1
Source: RefSeq, a predicted model, not a curated record